UGGGGAAGUACUCAAGUGGCUGAAGAGGCGGCCCUGCUAAGGCUGUAGGUCGGUUUUUACCGGCGCGAGGGUUCAAAUCCCUCCUUCUCCGU
This 92-nucleotide transfer RNA is filed under the name Alloiococcus otitis. RNAcentral's name for it is "tRNA-Ser(gct)". It matches the Rfam family "tRNA". Rfam says of the family: Transfer RNA (tRNA) molecules are approximately 80 nucleotides in length. Their secondary structure includes four short double-helical elements and three loops (D, anti-codon, and T loops). The record is from RNAcentral. Lineage: Bacteria; Bacillati; Bacillota; Bacilli; Lactobacillales; Carnobacteriaceae.